GAUGAACGCUAGCGGCAGGCUUAACACAUGCAAGUCGAGGGGUAGAAUUAGCUUGCUAAUUUGAGACCGGCGCACGGGUGCGUAACGCGUAUGCAACCUACCUUUCACAAAGGGAUAGCCCAGAGAAAUUUGGAUUAAUACCUUAUAGUAUAUAUGAAUCGCAUGGUUUAUAUAUUAAAGUUCCAACGGUGAAAGAUGGG
Molecule: ribosomal RNA, 200 nt
Filed under: uncultured bacterium
Lineage: Bacteria
Description: partial 16S ribosomal RNA
Rfam family: Bacterial small subunit ribosomal RNA
Source: RNAcentral